UAAAAAUUAAAAAAAAUCAAAUAAAAAAGAAGUGAUUUACUCCUUCUUUCCUAUCCUUUCUGUAUUCUUUAUUUUUUGAUUUUUUCACGUGAUCAAUUGUUGGAGAACUCCCCCAUUCUGCACUCUCUCCCUCUCCAACGCUAAAACUCCCUUCAGGCAUUAAACACAGCUCUAUUUCCAUCAUCUCUUUCCCCAAUUCAAUUUUUUCCUAACCUAAUCAAGCAUGCGUGAUGCUUCUCCCCACAUAUGCCGAUCCCACUCCCCUUCUCGAGAUGUUCUCUCACCGCCGCUACCUCUAUCCAAUCUCUUUCCCCAACUUCGCCGCCACACGUUUUUUUAUCUCCAAUUACCAGUGUGCAUUCACACUACCCUCCCUAUUUAUUGUUUUCGUUUUCCAGGUUUGUGUCUAAACCCUAACUCGGAUUUUGCACAUACAGCCCCAUUUUCUCUCUAUAUAAGGAUCUUCUUGGUUAUUCAAGACUCAAUCAACCUUUGGUUUGUUUCCCUUUUUCCUCUUUUGCCUUCCCGUCGUUUUCCAUGGCUAUGAAUGUUGAUGGCGUCUCAACCAUUGAUUCUUUCAAGAGACUUUGAAUGCCCUUCACCCUCCAAGGGGUUGAUCUAUCAGGACCUUCAUAAUGGAGAGCCUCUCCAGGGUCUAUCCUAGAGGGCAGAGAAGGACUGUCCUGUCCAAGGUUAAUUGUAUUGCAGAUGCUUCAUAUAUGAUUCUAUUCUAUGUUUUUGUUAGUUUGUAUUUUCAAUCUGUGUUGAAUUUGUUGUUUAGAUUUCAUUUUCGUUAUUCAUUAUACUCUGAGAUUGUGAAGACUAUUUGUUACUUUCCAGCUGAUUGAUUUUUGGAGCUUCUAUUCUGUUUCUAAGAGUGCAGAAGCUUUAAAUUUCAUGUAUUUGCAUAAAUCUUUUGCUACCAAGCUAUACUGACUGUAUGCUACGACUAUUUAAAUUUCAUAUCGGACAUUUGGGUCUUUUUUGGAAUAAUCGUUCUUUCUUAGUGUUUUUAUGGCUGGAGAAAGUAAAGGUCCUUUCCCUAUUUCAUUCUUAUUCAUUUGAGUAAUUCCUUUAUCAUUUGUAGGAAGCAGGACUCAAGGAAGUUGGAAAUAUAUCAGCAAUAAGUUAACAUAAGGAAGUUGGAAAUACAUCAGCAACAAGUCAACAAUUUUUAUAGGCAAUAAAAAUUGAAAAUUUCCUCAAUUCAUACUCUUCGACUGAUUCAUAACUGGUGGAUGUACUUGGUUUUGACUGUUAUGUGUCUUCUUUAAAUUGUGCAACUUUUAGAAUGGGUUGUUUUUUGCUA
This is a long non-coding RNA of Lotus japonicus, 1309 nucleotides long. RefSeq lists it as uncharacterized. The transcript has 2 exons. NCBI's taxonomy places the organism in Eukaryota, Viridiplantae, Streptophyta, Magnoliopsida, Fabales, Fabaceae. The record is from RefSeq and is a predicted model, not a curated record.